AGUCUGGUGCCAGCAGCCGCGGUAAUUCCAGCUCCAAUAGCGUAUAUUAAAGUUGCUGCGGUUAAAAAGCUCGUAGUUGGAUCCGGGCAGUCGACGCGCGGUGCGCUUUACGGCGUUACUGCGUGCUCGUCGCCACUAUCCGGCCUUGUCUUUCAUGUUCUUUACUGAGCGUGAUCGGCGACCGGGACGUUUACUUUGAAAAAAUUAGAGUGCUUAAAGCAGGCAUAUGGCCUUGCAUAAUGGUGCAUGGAAUAAUGGAAUAGGACCUCGGUUCUAUUUUGUUGGUUUUCGGAGCUCGAGGUAAUGAUUAAGAGGAACAGACGGGGACAUUCGUAUUGCGGCGUUAGAGGUGAAAUUCUUGGAUCGUCGCAAGACGAACUACUGCGAAAGCAUUUGUCAAGAAUGUUUUCAUUAAUCAAGAACGAAAGUUAGAGGUUCGAAGGCGAUCAGAUACCGCCCUAGUUCUAACCAUAAACGAUGCCAACCAGCGAUCCGUCGGUGUUCAUUCAAUGACUCGACGGGCAGCUUCCGGGAAACCAAAGUGCUUAGGUUCCGGGGGAAGUAUGGUUGCAAAGCUGAAACUUAAAGGAAUUGACGGAAGGGCACCACCAGGAGUGGAGCCUGCGGCUUAAUUUGACACAACACGGGAAAACUUACCCGGCCCGGACACUGUAAGGAUUGACAGAUUGAGAGCUCUUUCUUGAUUCGGUGGUUGGUGGUGCAUGGCCGUUCUUAGUUGGUGGAGCGAUUUGUCUGGUUAAUUCCGAUAACGAACGAGACUCUAGCCUGCUAAAUAGCCAACUGAUCCGCUGCGUCGGUUGCUAUAAGCUUCUUAGAGGGACAGGCGACGUUUAGUCGCACGAGAUUGAGCAAUAACAGGUCUGUGAUGCCCUUAGAUGCCCGGGGCCGCACGCGCGCUACACUGGUUGAAGCAGCUGGCAUUACGUCUAGGUCGAAAGGCCCGGAAAAUCCGCUGAAACUCAACCGUGAUUGGGAUUGAGCUUUGUAACUAUCGCUCAUGAACGAGGAAUUCCCAGUAAGCGCGAGUCAUAAGCUCGCGUUGACUACGUCCCUGCCCUUUGUACACACCGCCCGUCGCUACUACCGAUUGAAUGAAUUAGUGAGGACUUCGGACCGGACAUCGCGGCUGUCGCAAGAUGGCUGCGGCUGGCUGGGAAGAUGUCCAAACUGGCUCAUUUAGAGGAAGUAAAAGUC
RNAcentral lists this ribosomal RNA (1215 nucleotides) under metagenome. Its description in RNAcentral is "SSU rRNA". It matches the Rfam family "Eukaryotic small subunit ribosomal RNA", at positions 558 to 1790 of the family's 1831-position model. The record is from RNAcentral.